GAUGAACGCUGGCGGCGUGCCUAACACAUGCAAGUCGAACGCCCCGCAAGGGGAGUGGCAGACGGGUGAGUAACACGUGGGAACGUACCCUUUGGUUCGGAAUAACUUGGGGAAACUCAAGCUAAUACCGGAUAAGCCCUUAUGGGGAAAGGUUUACUGCCGAAGGAUCGGCCCGCGUCUGAUUAGCUAGUUGGUGAGGUGAUGGCUCACCAAGGCGACGAUCAGUAGCUGGUCUGAGAGGAUGAUCAGCCACACUGGGACUGAGACACGGCCCAGACUCCUACGGGAGGCAGCAGUGGGGAAUAUUGGACAAUGGGGGCAACCCUGAUCCAGCCAUGCCGCGUGAGUGAUGAAGGCCUUAGGGUUGUAAAGCUCUUUUACCCGGGACGAUAAUGACUGUACCGGGAGAAUAAGCCCCGGCUAACUUCGUGCCAGCCGCCGCAGUAA
This 447-nucleotide ribosomal RNA is filed under the name uncultured bacterium. RNAcentral's name for it is "partial 16S ribosomal RNA". It matches the Rfam family "Bacterial small subunit ribosomal RNA", at positions 28 to 523 of the family's 1533-position model. The record is from RNAcentral.